RNAcentral lists this ribosomal RNA (253 nucleotides) under uncultured bacterium. RNAcentral describes it as "partial 16S ribosomal RNA". It matches the Rfam family "Bacterial small subunit ribosomal RNA", at positions 524 to 776 of the family's 1533-position model. The record is from RNAcentral.
UACGAGAGGCCCAAACGUUAUUCGGAAUUACUGGGCUUAAAGAGCGUGUAGGCGGCUUGGAAGGUCAGCUGUGAAAACUCGAGGCUCAACCUCGAGACGUCGGUUGAAACCACCUGGCUAGAGUCCGGAAGAGGAGAGUGGAAUUCCCGGUGUAGCGGUGAAAUGCGCAGAUAUCGGGAAGAACACCCGUGGCGAAGGCGGCUCUCUGGGACGGUACUGACGCUGAGACGCGAAAGCGUGGGGGGCGAACAGG